GACAGGGUGGCCGAGUGGCGAAGGCACCAGUCUGCAAAACUGGAGAUCGCGGGUUCGAAUCCCGUCCCUGUCU
This 73-nucleotide transfer RNA is filed under the name Longispora fulva. It matches the Rfam family "tRNA". Rfam says of the family: Transfer RNA (tRNA) molecules are approximately 80 nucleotides in length. The record is from Rfam by way of RNAcentral. Lineage: Bacteria; Bacillati; Actinomycetota; Actinomycetes; Micromonosporales; Micromonosporaceae.